AUUGAACGCUGGCGGCAUGCCUAACACAUGCAAGUCGAACGAGCGGCGGACGGGUGAGUAAUGUAUGGGAACCUGCCCGGUAGAGGGGGAUAACUACUGGAAACGGUGGCUAAUACCGCAUACUAUCGGAUGAACCCAUAUGGGAUUAGCUAGUUGGUGGGGUAAAGGCUCACCAAGGCGACGAUCUCUAGCUGGUCUGAGAGGAUGACCAGCCACACUGGGACUGGGACACGGCCCAGACUCCUACGGGAGGCAGCAGUGGGGAAUAUUGGACAAUGGGGGAAAGCCUGAUGCAGCCAUGCCGCGUGUAUGAAGAAGGCCUUCGGGUUGUAAAGUACUUUUAGCGGGGAGGCGGUACCUGCAGAAGAAGCACCGGCUAACUCCGUGCCAGCAGCCGCGGUAAUAC
Molecule: ribosomal RNA, 406 nt
Filed under: uncultured bacterium
Lineage: Bacteria
Description: partial 16S ribosomal RNA
Rfam family: Bacterial small subunit ribosomal RNA
Source: RNAcentral